AUGCAAGUCGAGCGGGGAAAGGUAGCUUGCUACCUAACUUAGCGGCGGACGGGUGAGUAAUACUUAGGAAUCUGCCUAUUAGUGGAGGACAACAUUUCGAAAGGAAUGCUAAUACCGCAUACGCCCUACGGGGGAAAGCAGGGGAUCUUCGGACCUUGCGCUAAUAGAUGAGCCUAAGUCAGAUUAGCUAGUUGGUGGGGUAAAGGCCUACCAAGGCGACGAUCUGUAACGGGUCUGAGAGGAUGAUCCGUCACACUGGGACUGAGACACGGCCCAGACUCCUACGGGAGGCAGCAGUGGGGAAUAUUGGACAAUGGGGGGAACCCUGAUCCAGCCAUGCCGCGUGUGUGAAGAAGGCCUUUUGGUUGUAAAGCACUUUAAGCGAGGAGGAGGCUCCCUAGAUUAAUACUCUAGGAGAGUGGACGUUACUCGCAGAAUAAGCACCGGCUAACUCUGUGCCAGCAGCCGCGGUAAUACAGAGGGUGCAAGCGUUAAUCGGAUUUACUGGGCGUAAAGCGUGCGUAGGUGGUCUUUUAAGUCGGAUGUGAAAUCCCUGAGCUUAACUUAGGAAUUGCAUUCGAUACUGGGAGACUAGAGUAUGGGAGAGGAUGGUAGAAUUCCAGGUGUAGCGGUGAAAUGCGUAGAGAUCUGGAGGAAUACCGAUGGCGAAGGCAGCCAUCUGGCCUAAUACUGACACUGAGGUACGAAAGCAUGG
Molecule: ribosomal RNA, 715 nt
Filed under: uncultured Acinetobacter sp.
Lineage: Bacteria; Pseudomonadati; Pseudomonadota; Gammaproteobacteria; Moraxellales; Moraxellaceae
Description: bacterial SSU rRNA
Rfam family: Bacterial small subunit ribosomal RNA
Source: RNAcentral